AGAUGUGCUUUAUUUUAAUUUAACUGUUAUCAAUAGAGAAAGUUGCUUUCCCUGGUAUAGGUAAUAUCGUAGGCUAUGUUGGGUAUUGGGUGAAGGUGUAUAUUUGACGGUCAGACCUGUCAAACAAGGGUGCAGGGAAUAAGGGGUGUGGCAUGUGCUACCCCUGAGUCCCAAAAAAAAAAAAAACUAUUUAUGUAAUUUUUGUGUUAUUCUAUAGUUGGUAGUGUUAAGUAUGUUUAUGAGUGAUUAAUUGAUGAAAAUGUGUACUAUUUCCUGUAUUACAAAUAGUUAACCUUAGAACAAGUGUGUUCUUUACAGUAUUAUGUUGAUAGAUAAUUAACAUAUAAAAAUGUGUAUGUAUUAUAAUUAUUAACCUUAGAACACUUGCACUUUUUUAAUACUGAUUACUCCUUUUUCCCCUGUAAAGAUAGUCCACUAUCAAGAAAGUGCAAUUUUCGGAAAAAAAACUAAAGUACUCUGUGCAUAAUUUCUUACAUUUCUCUUAAUGUCAAAUUAAAGAACUAACUGAGAUCCUGAAUGCGGUGUUAAGAAAUUAAAAAAUUAUGCAAGUAAGUACUUAUUUUUUUAUCUAAAAAUUGUACGUCUCUUUGACUAUCUUUUUGGGAGGGAGGAAGUACAUUAAUUUUGGGUGCCACCUCUGAAUAGAUAUCCUGGCUCUGCCACUGCUGUCAAACCUAGAAAUUGAAGAGACAAAUAUCGAUCCAAAUUUGGAUACGGGUAGGGUAGGGCUACAUAAAUAAUUACUUAUAUUUUCUCCCAUCGAAAUCGCAGUUAAAAAGUUGGCCAAUAUGUGGGGGUCUCUAUUAGAAUUGGUAAUAGGUAGUUGUUUUUACUCGUAUGAUUAUUGUUUACCUGAUGCUUGUCAAAAGGCCUAGGUGACCUCAGAAUAGACUUGCUCAUAUCUAUGGUAUUCUAUAUGGAAAAGGAAAGUCAAUUUUGGUUUUCUUAUGGUUUUAUCUACAUUUGACUUCGAUUAUUUGUCUUUGAUACUUUUCCAAUGUUUUCUCGACUAGGCGCGUCUUGCUUUAAUAAGGCCCGCGCCUCGCUCCAAGGCCUCCAAAAACCUUCGGCACUUCAGUGCACUGAUUGGCUGUAAAACUAUGCUUCAUUCUAUUGUGGCACUGAUGAUCUAUUGUGUUUAUGACUCCUAAUGUGUUUCACUAUCGCCACCUUUCCAGAAUAUAAAACUUACAGUCUAUGCCUAAUAUCUUGUGCACGUUUUACUUCUUCUGUAGAAUCAAGGCUUUUUUAUUUGGUUGUAAUG
This is a long non-coding RNA of Rhododendron vialii, 1285 nucleotides long. RefSeq lists it as uncharacterized. The transcript has 2 exons. The record is from RefSeq and is a predicted model, not a curated record. Lineage: Eukaryota; Viridiplantae; Streptophyta; Magnoliopsida; Ericales; Ericaceae.